RNAcentral lists this ribosomal RNA (332 nucleotides) under uncultured Lactarius. Its description in RNAcentral is "eukaryotic LSU rRNA". The record is from RNAcentral. Lineage: Eukaryota; Fungi; Basidiomycota; Agaricomycetes; Russulales; Russulaceae.
AACGCACCUUGCGCCCCUUGGUAUUCCGAGGGGCACACCCGUUUGAGUGUCGUGAAAAUCUCAACCUUCUUGGUUUCUUCUGGAGACCAAAGGAGGCUUGGACUUUGGAGGCGUUUGCUGGACUUUCAAAAGGCCAGCUCCUCUUAAAUGUAUUAGCAGGGUCCUCUUUGCCGGUCCUUGACACGUGAUAAGAUGCUUCCGUGUCUCGGUUUCUGGCUCUGUCACCUUCGGGACCCGCUUCUAACUGUCUCCUCGAGACAACGCUCGAGGAAACCUCCUCGACCCCACGAACCCUUGGCCUCAAAUCGGGUGAGACUACCCGCUGAACUUAA